Molecule: transfer RNA, 87 nt
Filed under: Planctomycetota bacterium
Lineage: Bacteria; Pseudomonadati; Planctomycetota
Also listed under: 1 other name
Description: Planctomycetes bacterium tRNA-Ser
Rfam family: tRNA
About the family: Transfer RNA (tRNA) molecules are approximately 80 nucleotides in length. Their secondary structure includes four short double-helical elements and three loops (D, anti-codon, and T loops). Further hydrogen bonds mediate the characteristic L-shaped molecular structure. tRNAs have two regions of fundamental functional importance: the anti-codon, which is responsible for specific mRNA codon recognition, and the 3' end, to which the tRNAs corresponding amino acid is attached (by aminoacyl-tRNA synthetases). tRNAs cope with the degeneracy of the genetic code in two manners: having more than one tRNA (with a specific anti-codon) for a particular amino acid; and 'wobble' base-pairing, i.e. permitting non-standard base-pairing at the 3rd anti-codon position.
Source: RNAcentral
GGAGAGGUGUCCGAGCGGUUGAAGGAGCUAGUCUCGAAAACUAGUAGUGGGUUCGCCUACUCGUGAGUUCGAAUCUCACCCUCUCCG